This 510-nucleotide ribosomal RNA is filed under the name uncultured bacterium. Its description in RNAcentral is "partial 16S ribosomal RNA". It matches the Rfam family "Bacterial small subunit ribosomal RNA", at positions 28 to 507 of the family's 1533-position model. The record is from RNAcentral.
GACGAACGCUGGCGGCGUGCUUAACACAUGCAAGUCGAACGAAGAGCGAUGGAAGCUUGCUUCUAUCAAUCUUAGUGGCGAACGGGUGAGUAACGCGUAAUCAACCUGCCCUUCAGCGGGGGACAACAGUUGGAAACGACUGCUAAUACCGCAUACGAUCUAAUCCUGGCAUCGAGGAUAGAUGAAAGGUGGCCUCAACAUGUAAGCUAUCACUGAAGGAGGGGUUUGCGUCUGAUUAGCUAGUUGGAGGGGUAACGGCCCACCAAGGCGAUGAUCAGUAGCCGGUCUGAGAGGAUGAACGGCCACAUUGGGACUGAGACACGGCCCAGACUCAAACGGGAGGCAGCAGUGGGGAAGCUUCAGCAAUGGACGAAAGUCUGACGGAGCAACGCCGCGUGAGCGAUGACGGCCUUCGGGUUGUAAAGCUCUGUUAAUCGGGACGAAAGGCCUUCUUGCGAAUAGUGAGAAGGAUUGACGGUACCGGAAGAGAAAGCCACGGCUAACUACGUG